AGAGUUUGAUCCUGGCUCAGAAUGAACGUUGGCGGCGUGGAUUAGGCAUGCAAGUCGCGCGCCUCGCAAGGGGAGCGGCGCAAGGGUGAGUAAUGCGACGGUAACCAACCCCACAAAUGGGCAUAGCCGCGGGAAACUGCGGGUAAUUCCCAGCGAUGUUAGAGGAGGGCAUCCUUCUUUAACCAAAGUUCCGGCGUUGUGGGACGGGCCGUUGUGGUAUUAGCUAGUUGGUGGGGUGAUGGCCCACCAAGGCUACGAUGCCUACCGGGCGUGCGAGCGUGGCCCGGCACACUGGAACUGAGACACUGUCCAGACUCCUACGGGAGGCUGCAGUCGAGAAUCUUCGGCAAUGGGCGCAAGCCUGACCGAGCGACGCCGCGUGGAGGACGAAGGCCUUCGGGUUGUAAACUCCUGUCGAGGGGGAGGAAGUCGCAAGAUUGACCGAUCCCUGGAGGAAGCACGGGCUAAGUUCGUGCCAGCAGCCGCGGUAAGACGAACCGUGCGAACGUUAUUCGGAAUCACUGGGCUUAAAGCGCGUGUAGGUGGGUUGCCACGUCGGCUGCUGAAAUCCCUCGGCUCAACCGAGGAACGGGCACCGAUACGAGCGACCUGGAGGGGGGUAGGGGGAGCUGGAACUUCCGGUGGAGCGGUGAAAUGCGUUGAGAUCGGAAGGAACGCCCGUGGCGAAAGCGAGCUCCUGGACCUUUUCUGACACUGAGACGCGAAAGCUAGGGGAGCGAACGGGAUUAGAUACCCCGGUAGUCCUAGCCGUAAACGAUGGGCACUGGGUAGGGGGCUCGCCGAUGGGCUCUCUGCCGCAGGAAACCGUGAAGUGCCCCGCCUGGGGAGUAUGGUCGCAG
This 860-nucleotide ribosomal RNA is filed under the name uncultured bacterium. Its description in RNAcentral is "bacterial SSU rRNA". It matches the Rfam family "Bacterial small subunit ribosomal RNA", at positions 8 to 891 of the family's 1533-position model. The record is from RNAcentral.